Cherax quadricarinatus is the source of this 647-nucleotide non-coding RNA. NCBI's taxonomy places the organism in Eukaryota, Metazoa, Arthropoda, Malacostraca, Decapoda, Parastacidae. The record is from RefSeq and is a predicted model, not a curated record.
GGGAGGGGCUGGGUUUGAUUGGUGUCAUUGGGUACGGGAGUUAUUUCUUGGGUAGCUCUAGGACCUUGGGUAGCUUUAAGAAGAGAUUGGACAAAUAUAUGAGUGGGAGGGGCUGGGUUUGAUUGGUGUCAUUGGGUACGGGAGUUAUUUCUUGGGUAGCUCUAGGUAGAGGUAGUUUUGAUAAGGACCUGCCUUGCAUGGGCCAGUAGGCCUUCUGCAGUGUUCCUCCAUUCUUAUGUUCUUAUGUACCAUUUUGCCUGAGAAGCAGGUGAUUUAAUUACUAGUCUCUCAGCCUUGAUAGAUGAUAAGUCUCUUAGUUUUGAUCAGUCUGAAGCAUAGGCAGAAGGAAAUAUUUUUACACACCGAAGGUCACCUCCCACUGUUAUAGCAUGGGAGAUGACUAUCAUUCAUUCAUUUGCUGUUUUGCCUGAAAUGUACAGACAUCACAGUUUAGAUGAUGCUCCAAACUGCAACAUCCUUACCCCUCCUUUAGAAUGCAGCCACUGUACUUCCCACUUCCAAGAUUCUAAGUCCAGCAAUUUCCCCUGAAUUUUAUUAUAUGUUACCUUGCUUAUAAUCCAAUAUCCUGAUAAACUCUAAACACCACUUAGUCUCUACUCUGAUCCAACACACUCACACAAGCCUUU